AGCAACACCACGCUGAAACACCGGUUCCCGUACGAUCAUCGAAGUUAAGCAAUGUUGAAGCUGGUCAGUACCUAGAUGAGUAACCAUUUGGGAAUAUUAGGUGCUGUA
This is a non-coding RNA of Acanthosepion pharaonis, 108 nucleotides long. The record is from the annotation of a GenBank genome assembly. NCBI's taxonomy places the organism in Eukaryota, Metazoa, Mollusca, Cephalopoda, Sepiida, Sepiidae.